Molecule: ribosomal RNA, 490 nt
Filed under: Aeromonas veronii
Lineage: Bacteria; Pseudomonadati; Pseudomonadota; Gammaproteobacteria; Aeromonadales; Aeromonadaceae
Description: bacterial SSU rRNA
Rfam family: Bacterial small subunit ribosomal RNA
Source: RNAcentral
AGAGUUUGAUCAUGGCUCAGAUUGAACGCUGGCGGCAGGCCUAACACAUGCAAGUCGAGCGGCAGCGGGAAAGUAGCUUGCUACUUUUGCCGGCGAGCGGCGGACGGGUGAGUAAUGCCUGGGGAUCUGCCCAGUCGAGGGGGAUAACUACUGGAAACGGUAGCUAAUACCGCAUACGCCCUACGGGGGAAAGCAGGGGACCUUCGGGCCUUGCGCGAUUGGAUGAACCCAGGUGGGAUUAGCUAGUUGGUGAGGUAAUGGCUCACCAAGGCGACGAUCCCUAGCUGGUCUGAGAGGAUGAUCAGCCACACUGGAACUGAGACACGGUCCAGACUCCUACGGGAGGCAGCAGUGGGGAAUAUUGCACAAUGGGGGAAACCCUGAUGCAGCCAUGCCGCGUGUGUGAAGAAGGCCUUCGGGUUGUAAAGCACUUUCAGCGAGGAGGAAAGGUUGGUAGCUAAUAACUGCCAGCUGUGAAGUACUCGCAGAA